RNAcentral lists this ribosomal RNA (496 nucleotides) under uncultured bacterium. RNAcentral describes it as "partial 16S ribosomal RNA". It matches the Rfam family "Bacterial small subunit ribosomal RNA", at positions 28 to 506 of the family's 1533-position model. The record is from RNAcentral.
GAUGAACGCUGGCGGCGUGCCUAAAACAUGCAAGUCGAGCGAACAGACGAGGAGCUUGCUCCUCUGACGUUAGCGGCGGACGGGUGAGUAACACGUGGAUAACCUACCUAUAAGACUGGGAUAACUUCGGGAAACCGGAGCUAAUACCGGAUAAUAUAUUGAACCGCAUGGUUCAAUAGUGAAAGACGGUUUUGCUGUCACUUAUAGAUGGAUCCGCGCCGCAUUAGCUAGUUGGUAAGGUAACGGCUUACCAAGGCGACGAUGCGUAGCCGACCUGAGAGGGUGAUCGGCCACACUGGAACUGAGACACGGUCCAGACUCCUACGGGAGGCAGCAGUAGGGAAUCUUCCGCAAUGGGCGAAAGCCUGACGGAGCAACGCCGCGUGAGUGAUGAAGGUCUUCGGAUCGUAAAACUCUGUUAUUAGGGAAGAACAAAUGUGUAAGUAACUAUGCACGUCUUGACGGUACCUAAUCAGAAAGCCACGGCUAACUACGU